AGAACUGUAUAGAUCUUUCUGUUGACUUAAAUGGAUUUUAGAUGAUGGUCCCUGGAGUCAGGUUACACCGAGCUGACAGUCUUGAUUUCAAAUGAAAUAAUGUGACUCCCUCCAAUGAGGAAGCACAGAAUCAUGUUUGUCUCAUAUCUGCACUAAACUCAUUGACAACACCUACCUGACCAUCUUUUUAGAAAUGAUUGCUUCUUCUAUUUACAAGUUACAAUUUGACAACCUGGGUUUGCUUGGUUUGUUCGAUGAAUCACAUUUCAAGAGACCACCGCACAGCAUUUUUGGGACAGGAAAAUAGGAUGUAUCUGAAAAGAACGCAAAUACGCACUUAAACUUUGGGAACAGUAAGCAAAAUUUAUAUUGGUGACUAAAGUUUUGCACUAGUCAUGCUAAUUUGACAGACAGUGAAAAAUAAGGCAUAGCAUAAAAGAAGCAUAAAAGAGAAGUCUUGUGACAGCCAUGAAGAAAAAGAAAGAAAGGAUGAGGAAGAGCUUCGCCUUCUCGAGGGCUUAGUAAAAACUGACAGUCAUCUGAUUGUACCGGUGAGGCAGUACCGCACUUGGUUAGGCCAAUUCAUAUUAGCUGAGACUGCUAAGACUUUCAUUCAGAAAAUAAGCAAGAUAAAAAGCUGAACUCUUGCUUUUCAUUGGACUUGUUUCCUUUUUCUUCGAAGCUGACUUCAUAAUUUCAGAGUUAUUUAACAGCAUCCUCACCUCCAUCACUCUCAGAGUCUUCUCUUCUAUCCCGUGAGCCCUCAGAAGCAGAAAGAGUAAAAUGACAGAACAACAGUAAGACUGUAAAGAUUUCUGGGGGUCAGGGAAGAAAGGGUAUGGGUUUAUGAUCUGAAGGUCAGCUCAAUGCAUUCUCCCGGGGGGCCAUUUCCUGGAAUGUAAAUAUAUAAUUUAAUGUAUAUUGUGUCAGCAGCAUUUUUGAGGCCUGAUCCAGCACCAAUAAUUGUGACCUUCCAGGAGAGGUAACCUCUGGGUUCUCAUUAGUAUUACGGGCUUAUAAUUCUGCACUCAUUUGCACUUCCGCUCUGUGUGAUCAAUCUUUGGCAGCUCACCUAUCCAGCAAGAGGCCAGCAAGCUGGAAACAGAUAUGCGUUCCCUUCUUAUCUCCUGCCAUAACUGUAUGUCAAGUUAAUAUGGCAUAUUUUGAGGAAUAAAAACUUCCAUGAAAACA
Struthio camelus australis is the source of this 1191-nucleotide long non-coding RNA. The record is from Ensembl. Lineage: Eukaryota; Metazoa; Chordata; Aves; Struthioniformes; Struthionidae.